UACAGAGGUCUCAAGCGUUGUUCGGAUUCAUUGGGCGUAAAGGGUGCGUAGGCGGCGCCGUAAGUCAGGUGUGAAAUUUCGAGGCUUAACCUCGAAACUGCAUUUGAUACUGCGGUGCUUGAGGACUGGAGAGGAGACUGGAAUUCAUGGUGUAGCAGUGAAAUGCGUAGAGAUCAUGAGGAAGACCAGUGGCGAAGGCGGGUCUCUGGACAGUUCCUGACACUGAGGCACGAAGGCCAGGGGAGCAAACGGG
RNAcentral lists this ribosomal RNA (253 nucleotides) under uncultured bacterium. RNAcentral describes it as "partial 16S ribosomal RNA". It matches the Rfam family "Bacterial small subunit ribosomal RNA", at positions 524 to 776 of the family's 1533-position model. The record is from RNAcentral.